Molecule: ribosomal RNA, 924 nt
Filed under: Triticum aestivum (bread wheat)
Lineage: Eukaryota; Viridiplantae; Streptophyta; Magnoliopsida; Poales; Poaceae
Description: partial small subunit ribosomal RNA
Source: RNAcentral
AUGGAUCACUUCGAUUCCUUCGGGUCGACGGGCAUGGACGCCGUCUGGAUGGGGUCUUGUGGCUGGCCGGCGGCCGCGGCGACGACGGGCGGGGAGCAAGAGGCGGUGGACCUCCGGAGGGGGCCGUGGACGAUGGAGGAGGACGCGCUCCUGGCCGGCCACAUCGCCGCGCACGGCGAGGGCCGGUGGAACGAGCUUGCCUGCGCCGCGGGGCUGAGGCGCACGGGGAAGAGCUGCCGGCUCCGGUGGCUCAACUACCUCCGCCCCGACGUCCGCCGCGGCGAUUUCACCCCGCAGGAGCAGCUGCUCAUCCUGGAGCUCCACUUCCGGUGGGGCAGCCGCUGGUCCAGGAUCGCGCGGGAGAUGCCGGGCCGGACGGACAAUGAGAUCAAGAAUUACUGGCGGACCAGGGUGCAGAAGCACGCCAAGCAGCUCAAGUGCGACGUCGACAGCCGGCAGUUCCGGGACGUCAUGCGCCACCUCUGGAUGCCGCGCCUCGUCGAGAGGAUCCAGGCCGCCACCGCCAUGCCGGCGCCGAGCCUGGAGCACGCGGCGUCGCCCGUGUACCCUCUUAGUGUCGCGCCGGCUUGCCGCGGCGGCGUCGGCAUGUGCCAUUCUCCUGAAACUUCGACGGUGACCACGUCGAGCACGGCUGGUUCAUCGGUGUCUCUUGAGGUGCAUUUCCCGUCGAACCAGCUUGUCUUGACGGCCGGCAGUGGGACGAACUGGUCAGGCUCAGGCAGCGAGCAGUGCGGCAGCGGCAGCGCGAGGAGCGAAGACAUGUUCGACGGGAGCUGGUCGGAGCUCCUCGCUCGUGCGUGCGAUGACGGCGCGGACUCUGUGGUGUUCCCGGACUUCGAAUUAGGAGAAUCCAGAGACGACAAGUGGAGCCUGGAAGACAUAUGGUUACAACACCAGUACUGA